GAUGACAUAAGCUGUUGCUAGGUCCCGGAG
This 30-nucleotide non-coding RNA is filed under the name Mus musculus (house mouse). The record is from RNAcentral. Lineage: Eukaryota; Metazoa; Chordata; Mammalia; Rodentia; Muridae.